Molecule: small RNA, 28 nt
Filed under: Bombyx mori (domestic silkworm)
Lineage: Eukaryota; Metazoa; Arthropoda; Insecta; Lepidoptera; Bombycidae
Description: ovarian small RNA-12057
Source: RNAcentral
AGCAUUUUAGUGGCAUUUAUGGAAUCGG